RNAcentral lists this long non-coding RNA (1046 nucleotides) under Pan troglodytes (chimpanzee). Its description in RNAcentral is "long non-coding RNA NONPTRT002720". The record is from RNAcentral. Lineage: Eukaryota; Metazoa; Chordata; Mammalia; Primates; Hominidae.
CUAGUGGAGAAGACAGAUAUGAAACAUAUGAAAAAAAGCUUAUGUGUCCCUUCUCUUCUGCCUAGGGUCCUCAAGGUCAUAGAACCCCAUAACCCCAUUAGGUGUCAGGGGCAGAAACAGGACUGUGUGAAGAUUCACAGCCUCCCCCUCCCUUGCCUUCACGGAGCUUCGGCAUCUACCCUUAUUCCAGGCGGCUGCUCAGGGGCACCGUUCUACCCCUUUCUGCCUGGAGAAACUGCCGUUUUUCCUUAAAGGAUCCUCGAAGCCGGAAGGAGCAGCCACCUCCCACUCCCGGCUGCUGCAAGCAAGCUGCUUUGACCUCUUUCUAGAGUUGGGGAUUGCUGCUGGAGUCCGAGUCUCAGGCCCAGAGUGGGUGCGAUGGUCUUGCUUGCACCCUGUAUCCCCCGGCAGACGCCCGGGAACUCUACUAAGUGGGUGACCCCAGAGAGCUCGCCCCCACACUCCGACUCCGAGUCCAGCACUCGGUCCACUGCACAGGGACCUCGCGCCCCACAGCUGCGUCCUCUCUGACCUUCGCGAUCCGGUGCGCGGCCCGCGGAACGCCCCGAUCUCCAGGAGCACGGAAGGCCGAGGCGUGCCGGGGGAGCCAGGAGCAGCUGGCUGGCGGGCGCCGCGGGCCUCCCCGGUCACGUGACACCCCGGGCAACGUGCGCCGUCACCUGACGGCGGAGCCUGUGAACGUUUUUCUCACGUGACGGAGGCGCCUGCACGUGGACCAAUGGGGAGGCGGGGGCGGGGCCGGCAGGGGCGGUGCGCGGGAAGGGACCCCGGACCCGGAGGUCGCGGAGAGCUGGGCAGUGUUGGCCGCUGGCGGAGCGCUGGGGCAGCAUGAAGUGCCUGGUCACGGGCGGCAACGUGAAGGGUGAGUGCAGGUCGGCCUGGCAGCGGCGGUGCAGCAGCCGCGGAGCCGCCAGCCUAACCCCCUUCCGCUCUCCUCCCCGCAGUGCUCGGCAAGGCCGUCCACUCCCUGUCCCGCAUCGGGGACGAGCUCUACCUGGAACCCUUGGAGGACGGGGUGAGGGGCU